This 482-nucleotide ribosomal RNA is filed under the name uncultured bacterium. Its description in RNAcentral is "partial 16S ribosomal RNA". It matches the Rfam family "Bacterial small subunit ribosomal RNA", at positions 30 to 507 of the family's 1533-position model. The record is from RNAcentral.
AUUGAACGCUGGCGGCAUGAUUUACACAUGCAAGUCGAACGGUAACAGGCCGCAAGGUGCUGACGAGUGGCGAACGGGUGAGUAAUGCAUCGGAACGUGCCCAGUCGUGGGGGAUAACUACUCGAAAGAGUAGCUAAUAUCGCAUACGAUCUAUGGAUGAAAGCGGGGGACCGUAAGGCCUCGCGCGAUUGGAGCGGCCGAUGUCAGCUUAGGUAGUUGGUGGGGUAAAGGCUCACCAAGCCAACGAUCUGUAGCUGGUCUGAGAGGACGACCAGCCACACUGGGACUGAGACACGGCCCAGACUCCUACGGGAGGCAGCAGUGGGGAAUUUUGGACAAUGGGCGCAAGCCUGAUCCAGCAAUGCCGCGUGCAGGAAGAAGGCCUUCGGGUUGUAAACUGCUUUUGUACGGAACGAAACGGCUCUGGUUAAUACCCGGGGCUAAUGACGGUACCGUAAGAAUAAGCACCGGCUAACUACGUG